AGAGUUUGAUCCUGGCUCAGGAUGAACNCUAGNGGCAGGCUUAACACAUGCAAGUCGAGGGGCAGCGAGUCGUAGCAAUACGAUGUCGGCGACCGGCGGAUGGGUGCGUAACGCGUAUGCAACCUACCUUCAACAGGGGGUAAUCGAUGGAAACGUCGUCUAAUACCCCAUAUGGUCACGGUGCCGCAUGGCGCUGUGUCGAAAGAUUCAUUGGUUAGAGAUGGGCAUGCGUGAUAUUAGGUAGUUGGUGGGGCAACGGCCCACCAAGCCGACGAUGUCUAGGGGAGCUGAGAGGCUUAUCCCCCACACUGGUACUGAGACACGGACCAGACUCCUACGGGAGGCAGCAGUGAGGAAUAUUGGUCAAUGGGCGGAAGCCUGAACCAGCCAUGCCGCGUGAAGGAAGACGGCCCUAUGGGUUGUAAACUUCUUUUGUACCGGGGUAAUAAGGGGGACGCGUCCUCUGAUGAAAGUACGGUACGAAUAAGCAUCGGCUAACUCCGUGCCAGCAGCCGCGGUAAUACGGAGGAUGCAAGCGUUAUCCGGAUUUAUUGGGUUUAAAGGGUGCGUAGGCGGCGUCGUAAGUCAGCGGUGAAAUGCCCCGGCUCAACCGGGGAGCUGCCGUUGAUACUGCGGUGCUCGAGUCCAAACGGCGCAGGCGGAAUGUGUCAUGUAGCGGUGAAAUGCAUAGAGAUGACACAGAACACCGAUCGCGAAGGCAGCUUGCGAGGAUGGCACUGACGCUGAUGCACGAAAGCGUGGGGAUCAAACAGGAUUAGAUACCCUGGUAGUCCACGCAGUAAACGAUGAGGACUUGUUGUCGGCGAUAGACAGUCGGUGACAAAGCGAAAGCGAUAAGUCCUCCACCUGGGGAGUACGAUCGCAAGGUUGAAACUCAAAGGAAUUGACGGGGGCCCGCACAAGCGGAGGAGCAUGUGGUUUAAUUCGAUGAUACGCGAGGAACCUUACCUAGACUCAAAUGCAGCCGGAAUUGUCCAGAGAUGGUCAAGCCCUUCGGGGCUGGUUGCAAGGUGCUGCAUGGUUGUCGUCAGCUCGUGCCGUGAGGUGUCAGGUUAAGUCCUAUAACGAGCGCAACCCCUACGCCCAGUUGCCAUCACUUCGGGUGGGCACUCUGGGGGGACUGCCGGCGCAAGCCGCGAGGAAGGUGGGGAUGACGUCAAAUCAGCACGGCCCUUACGUCUAGGGCGACACACGUGCUACAAUGGCCGGUACAGAGGGCAGCUACCUGGUGACAGGAUGCUAAUCUCGAAAGCCGGUCUCAGUUCGGAUUGGAGUCUGCAACUCGACUCCAUGAAGUUGGAUUCGCUAGUAAUCGCGCAUCAGCCAUGGCGCGGUGAAUACGUUCCCGGGCCUUGUACACACCGCCCGUCAAGCCAUGAAAGUCCUGGGUACCUGAAGUUCGUGACCGCGAGGAGCGACCUAGGGUAAACAGGGUAAUUGGGGCUAAGUCGUAACAAGGUAGCC
This 1485-nucleotide ribosomal RNA is filed under the name uncultured bacterium. RNAcentral describes it as "bacterial SSU rRNA". It matches the Rfam family "Bacterial small subunit ribosomal RNA". The record is from RNAcentral.